This 443-nucleotide ribosomal RNA is filed under the name uncultured bacterium. RNAcentral describes it as "partial 16S ribosomal RNA". It matches the Rfam family "Bacterial small subunit ribosomal RNA", at positions 338 to 795 of the family's 1533-position model. The record is from RNAcentral.
CCUACGGUGGGCAGCAGUGGGGAAUAUUGGGCAAUGGGCGAAAGCCUGACCCAGCAACGCCGCGUGAAGGAAGAAGGCUUUCGGGUUGUAAACUUCUUUUCUGAGGGACGAAGAAAGUGACGGUCCCUCAGGAAUAAGCAACGGCUAACUACGUGCCAGCAGCCGCGGUACUACGUAGGUAGCAAGCGUUAUCCGGAUGUAUUGGGUGUAAAGGGCGUGGAGGCGGGAAAGCAAGUCAGAUGUGAAUACUCAGGGCUCAACCCUGAGCCUGCAUUUGAAACUGUUUUUCUUGAGUGAUGGAGAGGCAGUCGGAAUUCCGUGUGUAGCGGUGAAAUGCGUAGAUAUACGGAGGAACACCAGUGGCGAAGGCGGAUUGCUGGACAGUAACUGACGCUGAGGCGCGAAAGCGUGGGGAGCAAACAGGAUUAGAUACCCCUGUAGUC